AACGCACGAGACCUGCGGACCUGCGGAGGGAUCAUUAAUGAGAAGCUGCCCCUCGUGGGUAGACCUCCCACCCUCUGUGAACUUACCUUUGUUGCUUCGGCAGGCCCGUCCUCUGGACCGCCGGCUUCGGCUGGCCCGUGCCUGCCAGAGGAUUCCAAACCCUGUCUGUCAGUGUUGUCUGAGUCUAUAUGAAAUCGUUAAAACUUUUAGCAACGGAUCUCUAGAUCGGAAGAGCACACG
This 240-nucleotide unclassified non-coding RNA is filed under the name soil metagenome. Its description in RNAcentral is "partial contains 5.8S ribosomal RNA, internal transcribed spacer 2, and large subunit ribosomal RNA". The record is from RNAcentral.